GAGUCAGUAUGGUGUAGUGGUUUGAGCAUUGGAUUUCAGCUCUGGAGAGCAGGGUUCAAAUCCCUGCUCACCCA
RNAcentral lists this transfer RNA (74 nucleotides) under Phrynosoma platyrhinos (Desert horned lizard). RNAcentral's name for it is "tRNA-OTHER". The record is from RNAcentral. Lineage: Eukaryota; Metazoa; Chordata; Lepidosauria; Squamata; Phrynosomatidae.